CCUACGGGAGGCAGCAGUCGGGAAUAUUGCGCAAUGGGCGAAAGCCUGACGCAGCGACGCCGCGUGAGGGAUGAAGGUCUUCGGAUCGUAAACCUCUGUUAGCAGGGAAGAACGGUCACUGUGCUAAUCAGCAGUGAAUUGACGGUACCUGCACAGGAAGCACCGGCUAACUUCGUGCCAGCAGCCGCGGUAAUACGGGGGGCGCGAGCGUUAAUCGGAAUUAUUGGGCGUAAAGCGUUCGUAGGCGGUUUGUCAAGUCAAGGGUGAAAUCCCCGGGCUCAACGUGGGAACUGCCUUUGAAACUGGCAAACUGGAGUGUGUGAGAGGAUAGUGGAAUUCCAGGUGUAGGAGUGAAAUGCGUAGAUAUCUGGAGGAACAUCAGUGGCGAAGGCGACUAUCUGGCACAUAACUGACGCUGAGGAGCGAAAGCGUGGGGAGCAAACAGGAUUAGAUACCCUUGUAGUC
This 465-nucleotide ribosomal RNA is filed under the name uncultured bacterium. RNAcentral's name for it is "partial 16S ribosomal RNA". It matches the Rfam family "Bacterial small subunit ribosomal RNA", at positions 338 to 795 of the family's 1533-position model. The record is from RNAcentral.